CCGAGGCAGGGAGUAGCUAUCCGACCUGAUGUGGAGAGUAGCACCCCAGUAUACCCACCUUCCAGACCAUAGACUCGUGCGUCAACAAAAGUUUUUGCGGUAAUGGAAGAUGAAGCACGAGUCCAACCUAGAGAAAGUGAAUGAAAAGUUAGGUGGAAAUGUAAGAUAAUGAUAAGUGAUGUAAAUACUAAGUGCUGAGAGUGUAAAUAAAGCUUUUAAGAAUAAUAUAAUAAAUGAGUUUAUGUAGAAUAUUGCUAUGGAAUUUUCUUAAUGUAUUGUGGAAGUUGGAGUUCAGAAAUGCAUAAGACAUGAAAGAUGAAUCUUUGAGGUAUUGAUGAGAAUGAAAGUGCAACCCCACAUGUGUAGGGAUUAGUAAUAUGGGUAACUAAAGUGAAGAAUGAUCCUGAGUGGUUCGAGAUUUAAAUUUCAUGUAUGAUGAGUGAUGUAGGUAGAGCAACGAAAAGAACAUCUCAAUAGUUAAAGGAUUGUGGAAGAAUGCUCAAACGAAUGAGAUGACAUGAGAUGUUGAACAUUGGAUAAAAACUAAUACCCCUAUCUUUUCUUGGAGUUCGAUAAGUGAAAUUUUGGAGACAAAAUUUUUUUAAGGGGGUAGUGUUGUCAAACCCUGCUUUGUAAAAUAAUUAUGAUGUCAUUCACAUGCUCGAUAGAAUGUUUGUAUAUUAAGGAAGCCCGAGAAAUCGACAAAAGAUGGUAUUGCCCCUAGAGGUGUUGUGAAGUUGAUUUAUACCUCGAACUAGUUCAAAUAAAAAAUUUAAAAAGGAAUUUGAGAGUUUUGAAACUCCAAAAUCUACUUAGAAUGGUGAUUCAGAGUUCGAGGAUCAAUUUGGAAUCAAUCAAGAAAAUUGACCGAUUAUGGGGCAAAAUGGUAAUUUUACCACCCGAGGACGAAAUUGAAUUUUUUGAGAGAAUUUAGAUCAAAUUUGAUUAAAUGGAGCAUGAUAUGAGUAUAAAGAGUGAAAAUUAUGCAUUUUGGUAAUUUUUUAAUUUUUGGGGUAAAAAUAUAAUUUUUCACUUUUACGGGGGCAAAAGUGUAAUUUUUAAAAAUUUACUCCACCAAAACUUUGAAAAAGUCUAGAAAUUUCAUGGAAGAUAUGGAUAAGUGAAAAGGAUUGAGUGGUAGAAAAAGAAAGUCAAAAAGAUGGCUAGAAAAAAAUAAAAUAAUAAAAUAUUCAAAAGGUAAAUAAAAUAAUAAUAUUUUAUUAAACCUAUUAAAAGGCUUGAAAAUUCCAGAACUCUUCAUUGGAAGGGUCAGCCAAAACCAGCAGGAGAGAGAGAGAUAUAAGAACAAACCCUAGAGUGAGAAAAUUCAAAGAAAAAGUGUGAUUUUUUAAGGAAUCAAGUGUUUAAAGGUAUGAUAUUUCAAGCUUAGCUUGAGAUUUAUCAUUUCCAUGCAUUUCUCCUUAUUUUCCAUGGCUAAAUUAUGUGUUUUGAUGAUGGAUUCAAAUCUGAUCAUAUGGGUUUAGAGAGAGAAAGCUAUUAGAUUAAUUUGAUUUUGAACGAUGUUAGUGUUUAGUAUUAGUUUAGCAUGUUUAUGAGUAAAACAAUAAGAAAAAUAUUCAUUUUCUCCAUGAAUUUCUCUAGGCUGAAUCUAGCCAAUGGUGUGUGAGGAUGAGGUUGACUUUAUUUUAAGAGAAUUAGAUGGAAAAAUAAUGAAUUAUGAGGUUGGAAAUUAAAUGGGAAUUUUUGGUGUAAAAAAAUUAAAAUUUUUACCCACUUGGGGUAAAAGCGUAAUUUGUGGUCCGAACUAAUAAAUUGGACCACAUUCACAGUCAUUGAGGUAUGUGGAUAUAAUUGGAUAAUUGAAAUUGAAAUGGAUGGAAUUGGAGUUGAAUUGGAGAUUUAGAAAUUUACACCGUGUAUAGGCAAGUUAGGUCGGACAUUGUGAUUAAGCGAUUGUCCAAACAUUUCACACCCUAUCUAGUGCAUACGUAUGGAUAAGAGCCUGAAAUAAUAUAUAUUGAUUUGACACAAAUUAUUGAAUUUUUUGUGUCAUGUAUUAUGGAUAGGUGGUGAGCUAUCUGAUACGGGUAAAAGACUGCACCCGAGGACCGAGAAUAGGAGUAUAUCUACUUCUAGUACAGUGAGUAAACUUACUAUCGUCUUAAUUAUCUAGAGUAGAUUUAUUUAAUUGUGUGAUUUUCUGGAAAAUGGUUUAAUUGUAAAAUUAUUGUGUUUUAUGGAAAAAUGAGAUUUUAUAAAAUUAUUUUAUAAAAUUUUUGAAAAUUUAAUAAUGAUUUCAAAAAUAGAGUAAUUGGAGACCUAUACUAUGAUUGUGUUGUUUAUCCAUGAUUUUACAUUAAAUGGCUUAUGAUAAAUGUGGGCAUGACUGGUUAUUUUUAUGAUUUAAAGAAUACGUGAACUGCUUUGAUUUGCCUUGAAUGUGUUAAGUGAGCCAUGUCAUACUAUUGUGAUUUUAUUGGUUGGUGGUUUAUAAAGUGGGCACUGCAGUGACGGGGGUUUCGUGGGCCAACCUAAUUAGAGGGGCACGGUUCCCAAUUAUUGAGCUUACCUCGAUUGGAGAGGCGCUUAGAAUAACUCUCGAGGUAGGAUUUGAGUACACUUCACGCUAGCCACCAUGUGAAAUUGAGACUCAGCCAACGCCAAGGAAUGGAUGUGUUGUUAGAGGUGAAAUGUGUUUGUGUGUGUGACAAUAAAUAGCCUUGGCGGUCUCGGUAAGAUGCCUCCGUGGGGUAUCCCUGAGAAUGGAUUUUUGGCGAGGGCCAAGUUUUUGAAAAGUACAUAACCCAUGUUGAGUAGUUGGAUGAAAUCCAAUUAUUUAUAUGGGUUGGGAUGAAUUAUUUAAUUGUUUCCUAUUACUCGGCUUUAGAUUAUUUUGAUGAUGUCUGUCUACUCACUGGGAUUUUAUAAUCUCACCCCUUCUUCCUAUACAUUUUUCAGGCUUAGAAUAGGCAGUAGACUGUCAAUUGCAUCGAGAAGUAAAUUUCAGAGUUGUAUCCUAGAAAGCAAGGUUAUAGACUUAAACCUUCUUAGUUAUUUGAGGGCCCACGUGUCAUUGUAAUUUAAAUUACAUACUCCAGUUUUUUAUAUUACAAUAUGUAUAAAUUUAUUUUGUUUUUAUGUGCAGUAAAUUCAUUUUUGAUGUUUCAAAUAUAUAUAUAUAUAUAUUGUUUUACAUUAAAAUAGAUUAUUUUAAUUAAUAUUUUUAUUUUAUUUUAUUAUUAAAAACAAAAGAAGAAAAAAGAGAGAGGAAUGGAAAAACUAGUACAAAAGCCUUGCGAGGUCUCGAACGGCAUUCGGGGGAAGAAUGUCUGUCGAGGCUUCACGAUGGUUGUCACAGGCUCGAUGGGAGUUCCGGGUCGUGACAAUUAAGUUGGUAUCAGAGCUUUUGGUUAACAAAGCAUGGUUUUAAAGUUUUUGGUUUUUAUAGUUAUUUUAAGAAUUCACACUGACACUACGUGGCCUCGGGUUGAGUUAAACUAAGUUAAGUUAAGUUGGGUUAGGUAGAGUUGCAUGUAUGUAGAGUCUGAGAUUACUUAAACUUGCCUCGUUUCCUUUUUAGAUUACCAUGCGUCUUCGACGUGAGCGCCCACUCCCUACUAGAUUAGCUAGGAGGGGCAGAGGUCAUCCUAGGCAGGGUCAGCCAGACCUUAGAGGAAAGAAUCGACUGCGUCCUUUUUUCGAAUGGCACUUGCUGCUGAACCGGUCGAGAUUCCUCCGCCACCUACUAGCAUUCCUGCCGUGUCUCUUGAGGUAAUUCAGGCAAUGGCAGCCUUCUUUACCGCGAUGGCUGGUCAGGUUCAGACUAGUCAAGUCCCACCUGUAGUGCCACCAGUUACUCCUUCAGUUCCAUUAGUACAUGAUGUCUCUAUUUCUAAAAAGCUGAAGGAGGCUAGACAAUUGGGUUGCGUGUCCUUUGUGGGUGAGUUGGACGCCACCUCAGCGAAGGAUUGGAUUAAUCAAGUUUCAGAGACACUCUCCGAUAUGAGAUUGGAAGAUGAGAUGAAGUUGAUGGUGGCUACAAGGUUAUUGGAAAAGAGAGCCCGUACAUGGUGGAAUUCGGUGAAGUCCCGUUCCAUUAUUUUCCUAACUUGGUCAGGCUUUCUGAGGGAAUUUGAUAGUCAAUAUUAUACCCAUUUCCAUCAGAAAGAGAAGAAGAGAGAAUUUCUGAGUCUGAAGCAGGGGAAUUUAACUGUAAAAGAGUACGAGACUCAAUUUAACGAGUUGCUAUCUUAUGUGCCUGAUUUGGUGAGGACUGAACAGGAUCAGGUUGAUUAUUUCAAGGAAGGGCUCCGCAAUGAGAUAAGAGAGCGAAUGACUAUGACAAGUAGGGAGCCCCAUAAAGAGGUAGUACAAAUGGCCUUAAGGGUUGAGAAGCUCGCAAAUGAAAAUAGGAGAAUGCGAGCUGAGUUGGCAAAGAGGAAAAAUUCGAAUAUGUCCUCCAGUCAGUCACUAAAGAGGAGCAAAGGCUAAUUUGUUUCAGGGAGUGCUCCUUCUGUUUCGGUAACAUCCUCCCGACCAUCAUUUUCACAAAUGCAGCAAAGGCCUCUGAGAUUCAGCGGAUCUGUAGUGACUACUUCUGAAAAGAGUUCCGGAGGUUCUGACAGAUGCAGCGAAUGUGGAAGAUUUCAUGGCGGGGUGUGUUGGGGGCCUUUGCGAUGUUUUCAUUGUGGCCAGACGGGUCACUGUAGAACUAAUUGUCCACAGUUAAGAUAGGCCACUGUAGUUGCUCUAUCUUCAUCAGCUCGUACGGACUUGCAGAUGAGAGAUUCCUCUGGAGCACAACCGAGGCAGGGAGUAGCUAUCCGGCCUGAUGUGGAGAGUAGCACCCCAGUGUGCCCACCUUCCAGACCACAGACUCGUGCGUCAACAAAAGUUUUUACGGUAAUGGAAGAUGAAGCACGAGUCCAACCUAGAGAAAGUGAAUGAAAAGUUAGGUGGAAAUGUAAGAUAAUGAUAAGAGAUGUAAAUACUAAGUGCUGAGAGUGUAAAUAAAGCUUUUAAGAAUAAUAUAAUAAAUGAGUUUAUGUAGAAUAUCGCUAUGAAAUUUUCUUAAUGUAUUGUGGAAAUUGGAG
Molecule: long non-coding RNA, 5054 nt
Filed under: Theobroma cacao (cacao)
Lineage: Eukaryota; Viridiplantae; Streptophyta; Magnoliopsida; Malvales; Malvaceae
Description: long non-coding RNA (TCAC_LNC006333)
Source: RNAcentral